Molecule: ribosomal RNA, 465 nt
Filed under: uncultured bacterium
Lineage: Bacteria
Description: partial 16S ribosomal RNA
Rfam family: Bacterial small subunit ribosomal RNA
Source: RNAcentral
GACGAACGCUGGCGGCGUGCUUAACACAUGCAAGUCGAACGGAAAGGCCCCUUUUGGGGUGCUCGAGUGGCGCACGGGUGAGUAACACGUGAGUAACCUGCCCUUGACUUCGGGAUAACUUCAGGAAACUGGGGCUCAUACCGGGUAGGAAUCCUUGCUGCAUGGUGGGGGUUGGAAAGCUUCGGCGGUUUUGGGUGGACUCGCGGGUUAUCAGCUUGUUGGUGGGGUAGUGGCUUACCAAGGCUUUGCCGGGUAGCCGGGCUGGGAGGGCGACCGGCCACAUUUGGACUGGGGUAAGGCCCAGACGCCUACGGGAGGCAGCAGGGGGGAAAAAUGCACAAUGGGGGGAAGCCCGAUGCAGGCGCGGCGGGGGCGGGAAUACGGGCUUCGGGUUGUAAACCGCUUUCAGCAGGGGCGAAGGUGAUGGUGACGGUACCUGCAGAAGAAGCACCGGCUAACUACGUG